UACGUAGGGACCAAGCGUUGUUCGGAUUUACUGGGCGUAAAGGGCGCGUAGGCGGCUCUGUAAGUCACUUGUGAAAUCUCUGAGCUUAACUCAGAACGGCCAAGUGAUACUGCAGUGCUAGAGUGCAGAAGGGGCAAUCGGAAUUCUUGGUGUAGCGGUGAAAUGCGUAGAUAUCAAGAGGAACACCAGAGGCGAAGGCGGAUUGCUAGGCUGACACUGACGCUGAGGCGCGAAAGCCAGGGGAGCAAACGGG
This 253-nucleotide ribosomal RNA is filed under the name uncultured bacterium. Its description in RNAcentral is "partial 16S ribosomal RNA". It matches the Rfam family "Bacterial small subunit ribosomal RNA", at positions 524 to 776 of the family's 1533-position model. The record is from RNAcentral.